Molecule: ribosomal RNA, 253 nt
Filed under: uncultured bacterium
Lineage: Bacteria
Description: partial 16S ribosomal RNA
Rfam family: Bacterial small subunit ribosomal RNA
Source: RNAcentral
UACGGAGGGUGCAAGCGUUAUCCGGAUUCACUGGGUUUAAAGGGUGCGUAGGUGGGCAAGUAAGUCAGUGGUGAAAUCUCCGGGCUUAACCCGGAAACUGCCAUUGAUACUAUUUGUCUUGAAUACUGUGGAGGUUAGCGGAAUAUGUCAUGUAGCGGUGAAAUGCUUAGAUAUGACAUAGAACACCAAUUGCGAAGGCAGCUGGCUACACAAAUAUUGACACUGAGGCACGAAAGCGCGGGGAUCAAACAGG